Long non-coding RNA from Juglans regia (Persian walnut), 203 nucleotides. RefSeq lists it as uncharacterized. The transcript has 3 exons. NCBI's taxonomy places the organism in Eukaryota, Viridiplantae, Streptophyta, Magnoliopsida, Fagales, Juglandaceae. The record is from RefSeq and is a predicted model, not a curated record.
CCAGAAUAUGUUUGGUGUGAUGGAUUGCAGACUUGAAGCUGGUCCUUGUGGAUUUUCCAAGUAUGCAGUCUUCACAAAAAGGAGCAACCAGAUUGGUCAAGCAUCCCAAGAGAAAUUAGAUUUCUCUUUAAAUCUGGUCUUGUUAUUACCAAGGAUCACCUGCCCUCCAUCUACUUCAGUGAAGGUCUCAAACCAUGGUUUCG